This 342-nucleotide unclassified non-coding RNA is filed under the name soil metagenome. RNAcentral's name for it is "partial contains 5.8S ribosomal RNA, internal transcribed spacer 2, and large subunit ribosomal RNA". The stretch from base 1 to 120 matches the Rfam family "5.8S ribosomal RNA", at positions 35 to 154 of the family's 154-position model. The record is from RNAcentral.
GAUGAAGAACGCAGCGAAAUGCGAUAAGUAAUGUGAAUUGCAGAAUUCAGUGAAUCAUCGAAUCUUUGAACGCACAUUGCGCCCGCCAGCACUCUGGCGGGCAUGCCUGUUCGAGCGUCAUUUCAACCAUCAAGCCCCCAGGGGCUUGUGCUGGGGCCCUGCGGCUGCCCGCAGGCCCUGAAAACCAGUGGCGGGCUCGCUAGUCACACCGAGCGCAGUAGCAUAUCUCGCUCAGGGCGUGCGGCGGGCUCCUGCCGUGAAACCCCCCACUGUAACCCCAAAGGUUGACCUCGGAUCAGGUAGGAAUACCCGCUGAACUUAAGCAUAUCAAUAAGCGGAGGA